CCCCAAUCCUUCAGCCUUGACAAACAGCAUUCCAGCAGCAGAUUCUCCAAAUUGAUUGGCCAAGGGAAGGGACACUAGAGUAUAUAAAGCCUGGGCUAAAGAACACCCAUUUAUCUAAACCAAAUGAUUAAAUUUGGUUUAGAUAAAAAACUAAACAGUAGUAAAAGUUCUUCACAAAGUCGACGCGCAGGGGAGGGAUCUAUCAGCAAAAUUUCAAAAUUUAUAAUGAGUAAAAAACACAAGCUCACUUCAGAAAGUAAACCUUGUAUCCAAGAAGCUGGUGGAGGAAUACCUCUGGAGGUCCAAACAAACAAGAUUUUGGAAACAAAACAUAUUGGAAAUAUAAAUUCAACUAACAUCUUAAAUGAAGUUGAACAACAAAGGCAUAAGACGAUAGAUCCCUCCCUGUUCAAAAAUUUUAUUGAUUCAAUUUGUAAGAAGUAUACAACUACUGGGAAAGAUGACCACAAGAAGAAGGAUACAUCGUCUGACCCGAAGAACCAAAUGAAUCAAACUAGAAAGAAGAGAAUGGAAAAGUGCAUAGCUAUAAUGUUGAAAGAGCUAGUAACAAGAGUAGAAAAUGUGUAUUCUGAUACAUCAUGGAACUCAUACAUAGAAAUUUCAAAUGAAAAAUGCAGCCAAUCUGCAUUUGCCAUUAUCUGCAUGGAAGAUAAUACGCUAAAGAUCUUUGACGAGGUUCGUCCAUAUAUUCCAACAAAAAAAUGUCAAAGAACAAAUCACAAUACAAACACAAGACAUAGUGAAGAAAUUUUACUUGAUGACAUGAAUACAUUUUUAGCACAAGAUAAAAAAGUUAAAUGGAUAUUUUUAAAUUCAUAUAAUAGUCCAUGUUUUGAAAGGGAUGAUCAAAUUGAGGGUUGUAUGUUUUUGAUUUUAAGCAACGCUUAUGAAUGGUAUGUAAAAUAUGAUGCUAUCACAGUUUUGACAUACACAAAACCUUGGGGACUUUGUGGACCAGGUUACUUUAAUGAGCUUUCAUCUAAAGACAUCAUGAAUCCUAAGAGUCCUUUCAAGUCUUGUGUUGAGGAAUAUGAGAUUCGCUAUGAAUUGGAUUGUGAGAAUUUAAAUAAAAAAUUAAAAAAUAAUAAAAUAUUGAAGCAAUAUUCAUGUGGUGAAGAUAGUAAGAAUAUUAAAUUUGCUCGAGAAGCUCUAGUGGAGCUGGCUGCAGAAUUACCUCGGCUGCGUAAAGCUUUCUUGGAGCUUGGAGAUAAGAAAAUUGAUUCUUUCAUAUUUCUAUCAGAGAAAAUUAAACCUAUUCUGAAGAAGUUGUGGAGAGAAAAUGUUAACAAUAGUUUUGUGUCAUUGCUUAAAGAAUAUAUUACAACAAUAUUUAACAAAAAAGUAGUUGAUCUUUUUACACAGGAGCUAGAGUCACAACUUGGAAUCAGCAGCUUCAUCCAGCUUCACCAGCUUCCUCCAGUAAAAUUAAAAGAUGAAUACAGACAAAUCUUUUAAAUUCAGAUUUGUAUUUUGUCUAUGAUUAAAUAAAACAGAAUUGUAAUAACCAACUCUGGUAUUUUUUUCCUCAUCAACAAAUUGUACACUAUCUUCCUGCUUACACAUUUAAAGCAAUGAUACAAAGAUGGAUGAGAACAAAACACUUUUAAAUUCUAGUUUUUGGGCAAAGUUUUAUGAUUUUUUUAAAAAAAUCAUACUGUCUUUCUUCACUGAGGCUGUUCAGAAAGAUUUAACAGGUACACAGAGUUCUGUAAAGAAACCAUAAUGGACACAAUGCAGAGAAACACAAAAAAAUUGUGUUUUUUUAUUAGUAUUUUAAUUACCAUUACGAGACUUUGUUAGGUACCAUUGUGCUGUCACAUGAAAUUAUUAUUUUGAUAUGGAGCUUUGAGAGUUGGCACUAACAACAUACAAAUAAACAUCCCUGUAUACAAGACUAUAUGUAAAAAUGACACAAGAUAAAAACACAGAGUGACAUCCUCUUAACACAAGAUAUAUUUUCAG
Astatotilapia calliptera (eastern happy) is the source of this 1983-nucleotide long non-coding RNA. NCBI's taxonomy places the organism in Eukaryota, Metazoa, Chordata, Actinopteri, Cichliformes, Cichlidae. The record is from Ensembl.